RNAcentral lists this ribosomal RNA (318 nucleotides) under uncultured Bacteroidota bacterium. Its description in RNAcentral is "bacterial SSU rRNA". It matches the Rfam family "Bacterial small subunit ribosomal RNA", at positions 28 to 351 of the family's 1533-position model. The record is from RNAcentral. Lineage: Bacteria; Pseudomonadati; Bacteroidota.
GAUGAACGCUAGCGGCAGGCUUAACACAUGCAAGUCGAGGGGUAUAGUAGCAAUACUAGAGACCGGCGCACGGGUGCGUAACGCGUAUGCAAUCUACCUUUUGCAGAGGGAUAGCCCAGAGAAAUUUGGAUUAAUACCUCAUAGUAUAGAACAAUCGCAUGAUUGAACUAUUAAAGUCACAACGGCAAAAGAUGAGCAUGCGUCCCAUUAGUUAGUUGGUAAGGUAACGGCUUACCAAGACUACGAUGGGUAGGGGUCCUGAGAGGGAGAUCCCCCACACUGGUACUGAGACACGGACCAGACUCCUACGGGUGGCAG